GAAAAUAUYAGACCUCGAAAAAAUCCUUUUCUUGUGUUGUGGAUGCUCAGACUGAAGCUAGGAUUUGUGAAUGAAACUGCUGUACAGUGGGACUUGCCUACUUCUCCUUUGAUUGCAUCUCUUAUCUUCCUCAAGUUACUUUGACCCCAAAGAUGAGGACUUCCCUCCUUCAGUUGAAAUGAACCCAAGAAGUAAUGUGAGAAGCCAUGUGCAACACUGUCACA
This is a long non-coding RNA of Nothoprocta perdicaria, 224 nucleotides long. RefSeq lists it as uncharacterized. Lineage: Eukaryota; Metazoa; Chordata; Aves; Tinamiformes; Tinamidae. The transcript has 3 exons. The record is from RefSeq and is a predicted model, not a curated record.